Long non-coding RNA from Triticum aestivum (bread wheat), 2027 nucleotides. RefSeq lists it as uncharacterized. The record is from RefSeq and is a predicted model, not a curated record. The transcript has 2 exons. NCBI's taxonomy places the organism in Eukaryota, Viridiplantae, Streptophyta, Magnoliopsida, Poales, Poaceae.
CCCUCCUCUGAUCCUCUCCCUCUCGCCUCCUCUGCCCCUGCGCCAGCAGAACCCUAGCUAGUCCCACCGAAUCAAUCGUGGUGCCAUACGAAUCCCGUUGCUUCUUUAAUUCUUUGUUCAGCCCAUCUCUUAAUUGUUAAUUAUUUUCCAUAAUCCUAUGACUACGAGAUCAUCUCCGUGGACCGAUUUGACACCUACUGGAUUCUGGUCCCGCUGCCGGUCAUUUCGUUUUUAGAUGGCACCUGAAAUUAAUGAUCUGCGAAGCUCAUGGAGUCAUGGAAGGAAGGAAGGAAGGAAGAAAAGGGAACUCUUGAAACAUCUGAACAGCGCUUUGCCUUAGCGUGAGAAACAAUUCCAAAAUGAGUAUCAGCGGAGUACAAAGUGAAAUGACUAUAAUUAAAUUAGCUUGAAAAUGUACCUCUGGUGAAUCGAAUGGCAUGCCAAGUAAAAUGAAAGUGUCUGCUAAGCCUUGAACACCUAUUCCAACUGGCAUGUGCCUCAUAUUCACAUCAAGGCACAUUUUGAAUUCAACACCUUAAAGAUUUUGUGUUCUUGCAAAACAGACCAUGACAUUUUGAAUCAAACACCCUAAAGUUUUGGUUUUGUUACAAACAAGGCCAAAAAUUUGACAAAGUUGGAGAAAUUUUCAUUAGAAAUUUCGGCAGCAUAACACAUGACAAAGAAUCACAUGUGGGGCAAGACUGAAAGAGAUGCAUGCACAGGCAAGCAUUUUGUAUUUCACAUAGAAGGAGAACACUGUACUGUGUGCCAGUACAAUGAGUCUGCUAUCAGAUCCAGGUCCUUUCUACGGGCUUAGAAGGCCAAGUUGCUACAACAGCCAGCCUUACUACAUACACCAAGAAAGAAACGUCCAUUUUCCCGAGCCUAGUUGCUCUUGGCGACGCCCCUGCCUUGAGUCCAAAAACCUUUUCUCUUCCCGUGCCUUACAUAAUUUGGAGGAGGACCAUCUUCUCUUGCCUUUCACGGCUAGCAGCUCUUGGCCUCAGCAAAACAAAGAAAAGAACUGUCAACAGAUGUCAGUUAAUUGGCAAGCCAAACACAUCUACUAAAACCAAGCAAGAAACUACUACUCAGAUUCUUCUUCUUCCUCCUCUUAUUCCAUACACGCAAAAGCAAGCAAUGUCCAGUUCAGUCUGUGUGUGAUUACUAAGCUAAAAAAAGUGUAACGUACGCAUCCAGUAGCUAGCAUGCACACAACAAAAUGAUAUUUACUUUCAGUCAGUCAUUCAUCUAAUACCACCACCAUUCAGUAAGUAAUCCCACUCCUCCUAGCUUGCCUUGUUUCAGUGAUAGUCAUACAUAAAUAAGUCUAGGAAAAUUAUAAUAUGGUACCAAACAUGUCUAAGUGUCAAGAAUUUCUUCUUUCUUAGGAACUACAGGCAGAGGCCUCAAGUGCAACUCCUAACCCCCUAGGUACGUAGUUGACUCUGCUAGGAAUGUGAAAUAAAUAGAAAGACUUCUUUUUCACUUCCAAGGGCUAACAAACUGAUGUGACAUUGACAUUUGCAUCAAAGAUGAUGUUCAAUCUGUGUUGGAUAAGGAAGUUGAACUGAAGGUUGACAGCACAGAAAGUAGGCUGGCAACGGCAACAUAAAUCCCCUUGUUUGGUUUAUGCUGUUUCGGAGGAAAAGUUCCCAGAGCAACACAGGGGAGUACCGAGGAAAGAUUCUGAAACUCAUCUCCCCAGCAAUCAGCCAAACCUGGAGCUUCACUGGGACAAAAUAAUGACCAUUGCUCAUUUUUUUGCACCCUUUCCAUGAAUAAAUCAGGAAUCCAGAGAGCGUAGAAAAGAUCCCUGGCACGAUUCUCCUCCUGUAAAUUACACAUAAUGAGGGUGAGAUGGGGUAAGUAUAAGGUCAUAGCGUGACGGUCGUGAUCAAAUGCUGAAAAAUUAAAUCCAAACUGGUAAUAAGUUUCUAGUAUCUCUGUCUCAAAGUGUGUUACGCGUUACUUCAAGAACAUUUACCUUUCCAUGGUUCUUUCUCAAAUCAAGGAACUCAUAAAUA